This 8424-nucleotide small RNA is filed under the name Rattus norvegicus (Norway rat). RNAcentral's name for it is "Mir9-3 host gene (Mir9-3hg)". Lineage: Eukaryota; Metazoa; Chordata; Mammalia; Rodentia; Muridae. The record is from RNAcentral.
CACUGCCUUCUGCGUCUUGGCCAGGCUAGGAGAGAGGGGCUAGGGCGUCAGGGCGGUAGUCUUCACUAAAACAGUGUCAGGGGGCCAGCUGGACUGGUUAAGGGGCCUGGGGUGUCUCUGUGGGUCCCUCUUGAACAUCUCAAGGGCUCAGGGCUUUUCUGGACUAUGGGAGGGUUGUGGGUUACGCUCUAAUUGUGGAUCAGAGCUCAGGGAUCUCCCGCAAAUCGUCAAGACCAAGGUCAAGGGUCUUGGGAUAGCGAGACGCACCUGCGGUGUUCAGAAAAGGACAGGGUGAGAGGUCUGAUGGAAGUUGUGGGGAGGUAGAGAGGCUUUAGAGGAAGAAUGUUUCUGAGAGGUUCCAGGGAGUUCCCCCUCCCUAACUCCUACCCGAGACUCUCCUCUGCCUUCUUAUCCCUCAUCCCCCACCAACACACAAAUAACAAAGUGGCUUCCUGGAAAAAAAUUUUUUUUGAGAAAGAUGCAACACACAACACCCACUCUAAACAAGAUUUAUGACGUCUUCUUUCCCCUUCUGAAAUGGGAAGUUAGGAACGCCUUUCUUUUCAGUACCCCACUCUAUGCUUUGGGGCAGGCCUUUUGGAGCUGUCUGUGGGUGUCUCUGAAGCUUCCUCCAGUCUAUCCUCCUCUGAGCUGAGAAGAGCAAGGGAACCACGGAUGCCAUGGAUGGAGCUUGAGGCUGUUUAGAGUCUUCUCUGGGAAAAGCUGAGGUGGUACAGGGUAUCAGAGGAAGGUGGCAGCUGGCUCGAGCAAGGAGUGGCUCCAGGCUAGAUCUUUGGAGCAGCAAAAACAUCCAAAAAAAUACAAUCUAUUGAGCCAUUGUGGCAGAGAGGCCAGAUGAUCUUGAUACUGAGCCUCAAAGGGAGAGAGAGAGACCCUCUUUGAAUAUUCUUUAUAUUCGGGAGGUGAUAGGAUCUUAAGGCACUGGAGUUUGAGGGUCCAGCUUUCAGUGAAGGGAGGUCAGAGGUAGGCUAAGUGGGUGCAGAGGUAGGGUGUACCUCGAGAGCUUCCAGGAGCAAUACUGGCUGGUUACAAGGGAAGGCUUGGCCAUUUGAAGGAGAUAUUUUGAGGUCCCUGUUUAGAAGAGCCCACACCCUGCUGCCUGCCUUCACCUCAGCUGUUGAAGAAAUGGGCAGGUUAAAAGAUAGAAAGAGAGCUAUAGCCCACUUGGACAUGUGUCUUUGAGGGUAGGUGUGGAGUCCUCUGUACCCUCUGGGUACAAGGAACUGGCUCCAUCUGAGGUAUCCCAUAGCUGGAUCUCCCAGUGAACAGCCCUUUAAGCCUCCAGACAAUAGGAAGAUCAGCUUAGUCAAAGCUUGAGCCUGACGAGGGAUGGGAGAGAAAAGAAGCCAUGGAGAAGAGGCACCUGGAAUUGGCCUGGGUUGUGGCUAGAGAUUCUAUGUCCUAAUUACAGCCCAGAGGGGAUCAAAAGGAGUGCUCAUUGCAGGCCAAGUGGCUGCAUCUGUUGUAUUCCAUCAGCCUCAGGCUCCCAGCCUUACCUUAGGAUCUGGGCAAGUCUGGUCACAGGACUAGGAUGUCCACACCCUACUGUGAGUGAGGGCAUGACUUGUUCCUGGUCCUUCUCAGAACCCCUUAACUCAUAAACUGAAUAACUACCAACAGGGAAUAGAAGCACGGGGACAGAGGCAAGUGGAGUGGAUGCCUGCCAGCAGGUGCAACAGAUCUGCGUGCAGAUAUGCACGCACAAGUAACAUGCCAGCCUUAGGGUCCACCUCAUAAACUGAUUGUGGGAGAAAAUGCAAUGUCCAUUUCAAUGGGCUCUAGGGCAGGUAUAGUUUCUGUAGAUUCAGAUAUGGGAACUCAGUCAAAGACUUUUGUCUCUGUGUGGUAAUUUGAAUAUGAAAAAUGGAGUCUCCAACCUUUGGAGAUGUCGAAGUGCUGGCCAUUCCCCUGGGUGUUUGCUUUUCUAAGUUGCUGUAGGCACCCGUAGAGCUCACAUUUCAAACCACAGCUAGGAGACCAAGGAAGUUCUGAGCUAGUGGAACAGCUGAAGGAAAAGAAAAACGAAAAACAAAACAAAACAAAACAAAAAUGCAGGGUGGGCAGCUCUCAGCACCAUGGCCAGGGCCUGUCAGCAGCCGCCAGUUUUCUAGCUGGGCCACCUCUAGAUCCAGCGCCAGCUCUUUCUUGGGACUUAGGGACAGUAGGCUAGAGGCAAGGGAUUGAUAUAGGAGGAAGUGCAUCGAACUUAGAGCCGGCCCAGGGUACAGUGUGAAGAUGAGAAGACAAUCAGAGCCAAGGUCAGCAGGGCCCUCCUUGGGUAGGCUCAACCCCAAACAAUGUGUCCCUGCUGGGUAUGACCUGGAGGCUUCCCAUCCUGUACAUGGGUGUGGCUGCUAGCCCAAGAGACGACCUACUGCCCUGUCCCACCAGAACAGCCUCCAAGUGGCAAGCAGUGAUGGUUCAAGGCCCACACUCACUGUGGCCUCCUUCCUGAGAGUGAGCUGAUAGUGUCUUCGUACCCCUUGACACUGGAAGACAGAGGUCUUACUCCAGCAUUGUGCAGCAGACCCUCUGCCUGGCUGACCUCACCUGCUUUAGCAAGGGACUUGGUUUCCUAAAAGACAACAGAAUGUGGCUUUGGUGGCAGUGGCCUGCUGCACCUGAACAGAAUGCAAAAUCAAGCUUUUUAAUCUUUCUCCCAGAGCCCUAACCAGUCCUAGGCUUUCAGGCCAGGGCUCCAGUGUGCUGUAACCAUGAUCCUCGCUGAGGAGCCAUUUUGUGCAGCGUCCUGCUUAAAUCACACUCUGAGAGUCCUCCUUCUCUUUCUCUUUCCCCUCUCUCCUGCUCCCCGCUCUGCUCUCCCUCUUUCUUUUCCCUCCCCCUCUCAGGUGAAUCGUGCUUGCACAGUUCUCUCUGCCUCUUCAGUUCCACCCAUUCCAGCUCAGGGUGGCCGGGAAAGACUAGAGCGCAGGAGGCCGCCCACACCGACAGACACACAGCUCAAUGGAAGAGGGUGUAGAUUCCAGAGGCUGUAGGAGGAGAAGAAAGGGGCACCUCCUAAUUAUGAAAAAUCCUUUAGGAUUAACCAGGCAGGCCCAAAUUCGAGGUUCCUUCCUGGGCCUUGCUGUCAGUAGGUCAGCCUCUCUGUUUCUCUGAUGCUUCAUUUCGGUCUAGCCUGCGUCCUUUUUCUGAGACACGGAUUUGUCUGUGAGGUGGCAGUUGAAAAGAGCUGGCUUGCUCACUGGCUGACAGAAAUGGCAGUGGGACUGCAGCCCACCUUGGAUUUUGGGUCAAGAUGAAAAUAGGACAAAUCUAAAACAAGCACAGGGUAAAGAGGUGCACGCCAAAACCUGAUACUUAACAACAAUCCAGAUGUGUCAUUUUAAGGGAGAGUGCAUUAGAUGCCUUUAGGAAAAUCCAAGAACCUUCCGAAUCACCCACUUUGGGCCUAUUCUUUGAACCCGACCUUAUGAGAUUUGCUGAUGGAGUGUGUGUGUUGUGGGGGAGGGGGUGCCCCAGCCUCACCAAAGCAGAUCUGAAUGAGUACCCCCACCUAAGGCUGGGCUGGUCCGGGAUGCCUUUGCAUGGAGGGAGAAUCUUUGGGACUUCCGAAUAGUCACUGCUGGAAUCCUGGAAUCUGUUACCCUACUCUAUUGUUGAAUCGGUCUCUAGCUCUUGAAUUUAAGAUCUUUCUAAGGACGUCUGGGGAAAAGAUAUCUAAUUUUUUUUAUGUUUAAUCCUUUGCCUCCCAGGAAUGGGUGAUGGAGGUGAAUCAGAGGGCUCGGAGUGGGACGGUGGGCACAGGAGCAAGGAAGAAGGGAUUGGUUUCAGUUGCUCCAGAUUCCCGAAUUUCCUACCUGGGCUCUGAGUGCCCUUCACUAGCACCUACUGGCCUUCAGCACGAAGGAGGCUCGCAUCACUGCAGGGAAAGGUGAGUGGCUGUAGCCAGGGAAGGAGGGCAUGUAGAGUCUUAAAAUCGAACAAAUAAAACAAAAAACGAACCGGCAGAAUGAAACAUCGUCGGAAGAUUCCAGGACCACGUUGGUAAGGUGACUGUGUUUCUACCUGAAUCCCCUGAAAGUGGACCCCUUCCCUCUGUAGGCCAGAAUCUAAAGUCACCAAGUCAUCCCUCUCAUUCCCAAGAGUGCUGUGGCUUUAGUAAUACACCUGCUGGCUUGUGCUUUGUAAGGCAACCCCGCUGGGUUGGGACCAUCCUCCAUCUCCCCAGGACACUGUCCCCAAGACAGGCAGAGCACACUUGGGUGCCAGAAUGAUUCUGGCCUCCAAAGUGGUUUCUUGGACACCUUUGGCCUGAGCCUGGCUCUCGAGCGGUGGCCAGCAACCUCGACUGGUAAAGGGGCCGCUUGCCUAGGGGUCAGGCUAGCCCACAGUGGGACUCAGGACCUGGUCCUGCGCGCUCGCUCUCGGAAACCGCGUGGUGAGAGCUUAGGCAGAGACUGACUCCCUUGGCGGCCCCGCACGCACCUCCUGUCCCAGGCCUACCCGGGCCUAUGGAAGCUUCCGCGCGAAGCUGGCAGGGAAGGCCCUCAGAGCACGCGUAAACCCGACGCCCGGCGCCGAGAGGAGACCCGAAGGACCAGCCGCGUCCCCUGGGCCUGCGCCAAGGCUUCGGCGGGGAGCGCUGCGGGGCCGGGAGGCCAUUUUGAGAGCGAACGCACGGCGGCAAGAUGGCUGCGUGGGCACGAGGUAGGUCGCAGCGCCGCAGGGUCGGCCGAGCUCCUCCUCGCGCCAGCAGGGCCGCUCAACCCCAUGGAAGCAGCGCGCGCGGAGAGCGCACCCGGCCUAGGGGUCUGGGAAGUCGCCUGCGGCGGGCCGUCGCCAAGUAUUCCAGGACACUGUCCCCGAGGCCACAAUGCCUUUCCCGGCUGUUGAAAAGAAAGCAGCAGAAGAAAGUAGGCCGCUGCUGGCUCCUGAGUCCCUGGCAGCCUUCUCUCCUCAGACAUGGUGGGAUGUACUCUGAUCUAGAGCAGGCAUCUGGCCAGAGACCCACAGGGAGCUCUGUGAUUGGCCUCAGAUGACCUAGAGGACAAAGAGAGGUCAGUGACUCCUGUUGUCUGCGAGUGUGAUGCUGGAGGUGGAGGUGGGACAAAGCCAUCAUGUCUUUGAAGAAAGCUUCUGGCCUCAAGCCAGACUCAGGAUUUUGGAGACUCGAGCCUCUUCUGGACAUGUGCACCUUGACAGUAGUGGCUUCUAAUUGUCCUGUGAAGGGAAAUGAUGGAACAGGCUCUGGUCGGCUUUUCUGGGAACAGACAGAGAAGUGGUAACUCCUGCCAAAGUCACGGGAUGCAUACAAAGCCCAGAACCCGAACAGGAAAAUGCAGCAGGAAAGGACACCGCAGCAGCCACCAUCCUGGGGUGGCUGUGCACGGGGCAGUCCUGCCCCUGGAACUUGGCCAGAGGCCAGGGCAAGUGCCCACCUCCCUUCUAGGGGCCUUUGUCACUGGCCUGCUUGCCCAGGUCUCCUUCAUCUCUGCUGCUGCCACACCUUUCAGGCCUGUUCUGGGUCUGAUGUGAUGCAGAACACUCUGCUCCGUCACUUGGGAAAUGGAAACUUCAUCACCAGCGUUUCCACCCCAAAGAACUAGACAGCACACUGGGAAGUUGCCAAAGGAAGGGACUUCAGCCUCCCAGGAGUUAACAACAUUUCUCCCCAGCUGUCCUCCCCUUGGUGCUCCUUUUCCUCCCUCCUCCUGCUCACAGCAGGCAGGGCCUGGAACCAGGAGCCAUGCUGCUGUGCUGUUGCCAGGGGAGCUGGGAGGCAGAUCAGAGCUAUGCAGGGGAAAGGCUCAGCCUGUCAAAGUGUCUGAGAUGAACCACCGCCAUCCCCGUGCAGCUGGGCUCCAUGUGUCUCAAGGCUCUUGUUCUGUGCCUGAGAACAGGGAAACCCAGCGAGGUUCAAGGGCACACUCGCUAUUCAUCAGUCAGGGGUUCUUGACGGUCCUGCCUCUCCCAGAGAUGGGUUCCCCCCUUCCUCUUUCUCUCCCUCCUGUGACACAAUCCUGGGUGCCUAUGGUGAGGACUGCACACCCCCUCCCUACUGCUCCCCCCAAACCCUGAAUCAACUCUUAUUAAGGAGGCCAGGCAGGACAGAGACAAUGGCUUCAAGAAAUCAUUCAGGCAGGACCCCAGCCACAUUUGCCUGCCCUUCACUCCCAGUGCCCCUGUAGAUCCCACUCUGCAGUGAUUCAGGGCACCCUUGGGCCCCCAGCUUGCAUAUGCUUAGACAGGAGCAGGCCACUAGGUGCUGCCCUACACAACAGGCCAGUGCACUAUUCUCAGUGUUAUUCUUAGUGGCCCCUAGGUCCCUCUGUCCCACUGGCUGCAUAUUUUUGUGCAGUUGGCCGGAAAGUAGAAACUGUACAAUAUUUUCUGAAAUGUGGUAAUAUCAAAAUGUAAAAGACAUAUAUACUUGAUUACUAAUCUCAUCCAGAUACCCUGGAAACGUUUGCUAAGAAGCAUGGACAAAGAGCUGUGGUUGAAGGAAUGAGUCAUUCCUUUCUAUGGAGUACCGCAGAGGCAGCUCGUGCAGGCUGAUAGGGAAGGCUCCAAUAUACUCAAGUGCAGAAUAAAGUACAAAAGGUCAAGUAAAGGACAAACGUGUUCCUGUUUGUAUAUACCUAAAGUCAGUCAGGGACUCGGGAGUGAACGCCAUGGUAAAAUGCACCCAGCAUGCAUACAAGAGGCCGAGAGCCAAGUAAAACUGUGUCAGCCACAAGUACGUCUGUAUGGAUGGCCCUGAAGCAGGCAUUGCACAGCAGCCUCUGGAAGCAGGAGGCAUUUCUUCCUUGUUUUUGUGUUUGUUUUCUCUCUGUGUUUGUGAAAAGGGAAAGGGUAGUUGUCACUUAAUAGGUAUAACUUCUCUCAGCCAAUGAAGGGUGUGCACUCUGAGACAAGGUGGUGAUGUGGCAGAGAAGUGUCUUGACAGUACUGGUGGCUUCUGGCCACUGGCGUUUCUCCAACCACAUGUCAUCAUUAUGGCUGCCACUGUUAAUCAAAAGCCCACUUACUUCCAGGGUUGGUUGUCUGGCUCUUGCUUGGGUGAGUGUCACGUUAUUUCAGUCUAACCUACACAGGAGACUGACUGGGGAAAUCAGUAGGUUUCUCCAAGCGGCUUGGCAAGUGAGGCAGAGUCAGUAUCCUAGAGUGGGUAAGGCAAGUGUGGGCUCUGGUUUCCCUUUGGGAGGACCUGUUUGGAUGAGUGGGGCUUGUGGGCUGUGUUGAUUAUGAGUGGGCACUCCUGCUUUAGCCCAAUGGAGGUGUCCUGCUGGGGACAGGAUGGCCUCAGGAGUAGUGGAUUGGCUCUGAAAGGCUCUAUCUGCAUACACACAGCAGAGAGAUACACUGGACUUUACUGCUCCCAGUGCGAAUCAAAAGCCUGGCUUUGCUCCCACAGGAGUAAAUCGCUACGGGGCAUCCGGAAAGGGCAGCAUGGAGCUGGCAUUGAGUCUUGGAACCAACAUAAGUCCAGGCACAGCAUCCUGUGGAGCUCUGAGUUGGGUCCUGAGGCCUGGGAGCAGGCAAGGAAAGAUCAACAGUAGAGUUGACCAGAGGAAGCUGGGAGAUCCAUGGAGGCCCCUGGACUUGAUGGCAGCUUUGGAAGUCAGGAGGAAAGCAACUAGGGGUGGGGCUGUUGCCAGGUCUCCUGCUUUGGUGCAGUGAGUCUUAGUUUUAUAUGAUGGGAACCACUGGUAAGAUCAUUUUACAAAUGACACCGAAGUUCGGAAAUGUUGCUACAUGUCUCAAGUCACAGCUAAAAAGUUCCAGAACUGAGAUUUAACACCUAUCUCAUUGGUUGCAGUCUGGAUUCCUAGCCCCAAAUGUAUCCUGUUUGGUUGGGCCACUUAAACGAGGUCUCCUAACCCCAACCCCUCCUGCCGGUCCCAUACAUAGAGACAUUAAAUUCUGCCUGCAAGGUUCCCUCAAUACCUUGCCUGGGACCCUCCUUAAUUCCACCGAAUUCCAUCUCUGGGCUACACUAAGCUUUGCAGCCUGGGCCUUGAGAGCUGGAGAAGAAAUUCAAAGCCAUGUACAGACUCCGGGCCUUCAGUUAGCAUUUUUACUUAGCACUACGCUGUUUGCUUCUGGAAGUCUGGCCAUCUGCAUUCUGCAGAUGCUGUCUCUUCCUUCAGGUCCUUGACCUGCAAACCUAUGGGAAGGUCAAGGGUGCUCUAGGGCCUAGCUCCAUGCUUCACAGAGGUCGCCCUGCUGAGGGCUGCAGCAACCCAAGGCUGAGGAUCAGGCCUGGAAGAGCAAAAAGGGACAGCCAGACUUAGAAAUCGUUGGAACUCUUCCUCUGGCUUAUUUCAGGACAACGCUGGGGGAUGAUUAAGACAAAUUCGAGAGAAAGGACUCUUCUGACCCUGGGAAACCUCUGCCUCUUUUACCCCAGCUCACAACUAAUAAAAGUUCGGGAAAAAAAAA